GUCCGACAGUUUCAAGAAUGAAAUGAUUCCGGAGGCUCCUGUCGCUCCUAAUGGGACCAAAUAAGGCGAAUUCAACACCGACUACUAAGUUCAUCAGGCUCAUCCCUGACACUAAUUUGUCCACAUCUUUCAUCUUCCAUGUCAUCGUUCAGAGAUGGACCACUUCAACAGCAGCUGAGGGCGAUGGAAAGAGCGUGUACAGUGCCAGAUGUAACUCCCAUCUGACCAAAGAUCAUGAAUCAGCAGCAAACUCUCUCAGAGCACGAUCCUCCAUUGGUUCCUUCCCUAGACUGUUCCAUAUCGUCUGGUGAGGCAGCCUGACACGAGGAUGACUAAUGCUGACUGGACAGCAGUCUCAACAUGGUGCAGCACGGGGCUACCAGAUUCAAAGUUUCGUCUCAUGAGGACUGGUGGAGCUGCUUGAGGAGCGUCUGAUGGAGGGAUGGUAGCCGACAGACAUGGG
This is a long non-coding RNA of Cheilinus undulatus (humphead wrasse), 463 nucleotides long. RefSeq lists it as uncharacterized. The record is from RefSeq and is a predicted model, not a curated record. The transcript has 4 exons. NCBI's taxonomy places the organism in Eukaryota, Metazoa, Chordata, Actinopteri, Labriformes, Labridae.